UUCUGGAAUUGCUCUGCAUGUCGGGCUCCCUGCACUUUUGGUGCGGCCAACCGAACAUGGGGCUGUCUCUUCACUUUCCCCCCGUCAUGUAAUAUGCCGUGGUUGGGAAGCUUGCGAUCGGUUGCCUGUGCGGUUCUACCCACUUGUGGGUAGCGAAGUUGUCCCUUGAUGUACCUAUUUGCUUGCCAUUCUGACAUUUCUUGUCGAUUGGGCAGCCGAAGUGUUGGUGAAAUCCCUGUGCCGGUGUGAGGUCAUAUUCCCCGCUUCCGUCCCUUGGAUUUUUACCGGCUCUCAAGGAUGCGGUGCCUAGUGCUAGCUCUGCGGGUUGUUGCCCCGCAGACUUCGGGAGGUCCCCUGUACGAAUCGCUGCUUUUGCGCUCGUUUGUCGUGUUGCCGGUGGCGACACGCAGAUCGUGUUCCGUCGUGUUGUUAUUAAUGACGUGUUACGUUGUUGUUAACGGCGCGUCGCGUGCAGAAAGUGCGGAGCGUGAUCGCGUGCGGGYGGAAUGCCUCUCCGAUUGUCCGAGCAGCGAUUUCCGGUCCGUGUCACGCGAAGGCCCGCCCUCUCGGGUUGGUGCCGGAGCGGACGCGUCGGGUCUCGUUUAAGACGUGC
Molecule: unclassified non-coding RNA, 613 nt
Filed under: Carex dissitiflora
Lineage: Eukaryota; Viridiplantae; Streptophyta; Magnoliopsida; Poales; Cyperaceae
Description: partial external transcribed spacer 1
Source: RNAcentral